AUGAACAGGAAGGGAAGAUUAGUUUACAUCAACUUUGUGGUCACGGCCUCUGCUACCUUCUUCCUAACGGCUUUUCAACCGGACAAAUGGUUCAUAAAGCGGGUUGAUAAGAUGAGAAGAAAUUUCCUUUGGGAAUGUGAGGAGGGGACUGCUGGUGGCAAAAGUCUUGUCAAUUGGGCGCAAGUUUGCUCCCCCAAGAAAUAUGGUGGUUUAGGAGUGAAGAAUAUUGAAUGUUUCAGCCGGGCUCUGCGGCUGAGGUGGGAGUGGUUUCGAUGGGAUGGAGUGGACAGGCCGUGGAAGGGCACCCCAACGCCGUGCGACAGCUCUGACAAGCAGCUCUUCUCGAGCUGUACCACAAUUCAGUUGGGUGAUGGCUCUCUUGCUUCCUUCUGGAUGGACAGAUGGCUGAAUGGGGUUGCACCUGCUGUUCUUGCUCCGGAGAUCUUCAAAUUGACCCGCCUCAAAAGGUUAUUGGUCAAGGAGGCGAUGGACAAUGGGCGAUGGAUGAAAGGGUUACAGCGUAUGCAUACUGAUGCCAGAUCGAGCAGUUUGUCAAGCUUUGGGGGGAGGUGCAGAAUGUGA
RNAcentral lists this ribosomal RNA (582 nucleotides) under Triticum aestivum (bread wheat). RNAcentral's name for it is "partial small subunit ribosomal RNA". Lineage: Eukaryota; Viridiplantae; Streptophyta; Magnoliopsida; Poales; Poaceae. The record is from RNAcentral.